This 345-nucleotide unclassified non-coding RNA is filed under the name soil metagenome. RNAcentral describes it as "partial contains 5.8S ribosomal RNA, internal transcribed spacer 2, and large subunit ribosomal RNA". The stretch from base 1 to 120 matches the Rfam family "5.8S ribosomal RNA", at positions 35 to 154 of the family's 154-position model. The record is from RNAcentral.
GAUGAAGAACGUAGCGAAAUGCGAUAAGUAAUGUGAAUUGCAGAAUUCAGUGAAUCAUCGAGUCUUUGAACGCACAUUGCGCCCCCUGGUAUUCCGGGGGGCAUGCCUGUCCGAGCGUCAUUGCUGCCCUCAAGCACGGCUUGUGUGUUGGGCCUCCGUCCUCCUCCCGGGGGACGGGCCCGAAAGGCAGCGGCGGCACCGCGUCCGGUCCUCGAGCGUAUGGGGCUUCGUCACCCGCUCUUGUAGGCCCGGCCGGCGCUUGCCGACACAUCAAUCUUUUUUCCAGGUUGACCUCGGAUCAGGUAGGGAUACUCGCUGAACUUAAGCAUAUCAAUAAGCGGAGGA